UUGAAUUAUGUUUUCUUGGUGGGCUGUUGCUGGCUCCUCGGAGCAUGUGCACGCCUGUCAGGACUUCAUUCUCAUCCACCUGUGCACCAUUUGUAGACUUUGGGAAAAGAGUCAGGGCUUUUGCCCUGGAUGUGAGGUUUGCAUUUCUGCUUUCCUCUGUGUCCCACUGUCUAUGUUUUCAUAUACCCUGUAGUAUGUCAAUGAAUGUCUUUACAUGGGCUUCUGUGCCUGUGAUAAAAACUAUA
This 245-nucleotide unclassified non-coding RNA is filed under the name uncultured Agaricales. Its description in RNAcentral is "sequence contains ITS1". Lineage: Eukaryota; Fungi; Basidiomycota; Agaricomycetes; Agaricales. The record is from RNAcentral.